This 550-nucleotide ribosomal RNA is filed under the name uncultured bacterium. Its description in RNAcentral is "bacterial SSU rRNA". It matches the Rfam family "Bacterial small subunit ribosomal RNA", at positions 355 to 896 of the family's 1533-position model. The record is from RNAcentral.
UGGGGAAUAUUGGGCAAUGGGCGCAAGCCUGACCCAGCCACGCCGCGUGUGUGAUGAAGGCCUUCGGGUCGUAAAGCACUGUGGGGAGAGACGAAACAGCGCAGGAGGAAAUGCCUGCGCCUUGACGGUACCUCCUUAGCAAGCACCGGCUAACUCUGUGCCAGCAGCCGCGGUAAUACAGAGGGUGCAAACGUUGCUCGGAUUUACUGGGCGUAAAGCGCGUGUAGGCGGACUCGCAAGUCGGUUGUGAAAUCCCUGGGCUUAACCUAGGAACUGCAUCCGAAACUGCUUGUCUUGAGUAAUGGAGAGGGUGGCGGAAUUCCCGGUGUAGAGGUGAAAUUCGUAGAUAUCGGGAGGAACAUCAGUGGCGAAGGCGGCCACCUGGACAUUUACUGACGCUGAGACGCGAAAGCGUGGGGAGCAAACAGGAUUAGAUACCCUGGUAGUCCACGCCGUAAACGAUGAGAACUAGGUGCAGCGGAUAUUGACCUCUGCUGUGCCGUAGCUAACGCGUUAAGUUCUCCGCCUGGGGAGUACGGCCGCAAGGCUA